UUGCAAAUGAUGAGUUAAUCCCAAUUGAUAAAAGAAGCUCAGAUUCUUGAGCAGUGUUGGAAAUCAUAAACUUCCAUGACUCUGAUGCAU
Molecule: small nucleolar RNA, 90 nt
Organism: Arabis alpina (gray rockcress)
Lineage: Eukaryota; Viridiplantae; Streptophyta; Magnoliopsida; Brassicales; Brassicaceae
Rfam family: Small nucleolar RNA R72
About the family: snoR72 is a C/D box small nucleolar RNA, which acts as a methylation guide for 25S ribosomal RNA in Arabidopsis.
Source: Rfam